CAUUAUCUCUAAUAUCCUAAGAUUAAAUUCAAAAAUCAAACUCCAUGUUUUGAAGGGAGCGUUUUCAGCACUAGGGCGUCUCUGAAGUGCAUCUGGAAACACGAGGAGAUUCAGGUAGAGAGGAGCUGUUUGCAAAAUGGCACCUGGCUCUUCUUCCUGACUCCUCUGCCGAGGACAGAGAGAGGACACUAUAGGGUACAGCUGUCUCUGGCCUUCACUUCCAACGAGAACAAGAACCAAUGAGCAAUGAGACCUGUUUAUUACCCAGUUUGUAACAUGCACCACGGUUGGAGUCACCAGAAUGCUGCAAAAUUUUCACUUAGAAUAAUUUUAAACUUACAGAAAAGCUACAAAAAUACAGUGAAGAACUCCUAUAUACCCUUCACCUGGAUUCACCGGAAUACUGAACAAGGGAUGCUGCGACCUUCUCCGUGUGUCACCUCAGGGGGCACGUGAUGCUGGUUUGUGCCAUCACUGGGGAUGUUACCUUCGAUCACUUGAUUAACGUACUAUCUGCCACGUUUGUUCAUUGUAAAGCUACUAUUUUUUGAGACGUAUUCUUUAAUGUGUCUCUAUUCCUACCUGAUGUGGCUAUUUCAGCUGACUUCACAAAGAGCCACGGGAUCAGCUAUGGGGUGAUUAAUAAUCGUAGCCUCAGUGGAGGUGAGACCCACGUGAGAUUCUGUGUGGUACUGAAGGACACAGAGAGACGACAUCAGCACUUACCCCACUGAUAAGUAACUUAGCUGUCAUCUCAGCAACACCACAGUAGUCAGAGCGCACCCUGCUUCCAAAGGAGAACAUGUAAAAAGAAAAAACAUAGGCCGGGCGCGGUGGCUCAUGCCUGUAAUCCUAGCACUCUGAGAGGCUGA
Non-coding RNA from Microcebus murinus (gray mouse lemur), 872 nucleotides. The record is from RefSeq and is a predicted model, not a curated record. NCBI's taxonomy places the organism in Eukaryota, Metazoa, Chordata, Mammalia, Primates, Cheirogaleidae.